UACGAAGGGGGCUAGCGUUGCUCGGAAUCACUGGGCGUAAAGGGUGCGUAGGCGGGUCUUUAAGUCAGGGGUGAAAUCCUGGAGCUCAACUCCAGAACUGCCUUUGAUACUGAGGAUCUUGAGUUCGGGAGAGGUGAGUGGAACUGCGAGUGUAGAGGUGAAAUUCGUAGAUAUUCGCAAGAACACCAGUGGCGAAGGCGGCUCACUGGCCCGGUACUGACGCUGAGGUGCGAAAAGCGUGGGGAGCAAACAGG
RNAcentral lists this ribosomal RNA (254 nucleotides) under uncultured bacterium. RNAcentral's name for it is "partial 16S ribosomal RNA". It matches the Rfam family "Bacterial small subunit ribosomal RNA", at positions 524 to 776 of the family's 1533-position model. The record is from RNAcentral.